AAAACACUAUUAUGUAUUACACACAUAUUAAUUUUCAAGUACAAGGAAUAUAUAUAGGAGUUUAGGCAACCCCUCAAGUUCUAAUUACAUAAACCUAAAUUAAUAUCCAUUCAUGAACCAUCCAAGAAAUCAAAAAAGACACAUACUUUGAACUAUUACAUUAAUAAUAUUUAAUCACCAAGAAAAAACAAAAAUACAAAUGAACUAGACAUAUAUAGGAAAUUGCAAA
This 229-nucleotide unclassified non-coding RNA is filed under the name Hevea brasiliensis (rubber tree). The record is from RNAcentral. Lineage: Eukaryota; Viridiplantae; Streptophyta; Magnoliopsida; Malpighiales; Euphorbiaceae.